This 438-nucleotide small RNA is filed under the name Pan troglodytes (chimpanzee). RNAcentral's name for it is "processed transcript". Lineage: Eukaryota; Metazoa; Chordata; Mammalia; Primates; Hominidae. The record is from RNAcentral.
UGCCUGGGGGCCUGGGUGAAGCUGGGCAGCCUGAAGCCGCAUCUCUUUCCGGUCACCGUAGUGGGCCAGCUCAUCUGCUCUGUGGCCCAGGUUUUCAUCCUGGGCAUGCCCUCCCGCAUCGCUUCCGUCUGGUUCGGGGCUAAUGAGGUUUCAACAGCCUGCUCCGUGGCUGUCUUUGGCAAUCAGAAACUCCAAGAGGAGGAGGAGAGCAACACCAGCAAAGUGCCCACUGCUGUGUCAGAGGAUCAUCUCUGAGAGGAAGGUGGUGACAACUCAGGGAACACGAACACCCCACCUUUUCCUUCAGCACAGCUCUCACUGCCAGCACAAAGGGCUUCGCUAGAGAUGUUUUUGGAGGGAAUCAGUGGGACUAUUUGUGGCAUGGAUGGCCUAUUCCUCCUAGAACCCACGUAAGAGCUUGGAUGAUUUAGUUGGAGA